Small nucleolar RNA from Haliotis rufescens (red abalone), 72 nucleotides. RefSeq annotates it as small nucleolar RNA SNORD83. The record is from RefSeq and is a predicted model, not a curated record. The transcript has a single exon. Lineage: Eukaryota; Metazoa; Mollusca; Gastropoda; Lepetellida; Haliotidae.
GCCACAUGAUGUACCUUUGCAUUGAGUUUUGACAAUGAUAACUUCUAUCUAUCACCCAUAAACCUGAUGGCU